RNAcentral lists this ribosomal RNA (253 nucleotides) under uncultured bacterium. RNAcentral describes it as "partial 16S ribosomal RNA". It matches the Rfam family "Bacterial small subunit ribosomal RNA", at positions 524 to 776 of the family's 1533-position model. The record is from RNAcentral.
UACGUAGGGGGCUAGCGUUGUCCGGAAUCAUUGGGCGUAAAGCGCGUGUAGGCGGUUCGGUAAGUCCGCUGUGAAAGUCGGGGGCUCAACCCUCGGAAGCCGGUGGAUACUGUCGGGCUAGAGUACGGAAGAGGCGAGUGGAAUUCCUGGUGUAGCGGGUGAAAUGCGCAGAUAUCAGGAGGAACACCAAUGCGAAGGCAGCUCGCUGGGACGUUACUGACGCUGAGACGCGAAAGCGUGGGGAGCAAACAGG